UACGUAGGGGGCGAGCGUUAUCCGGAUUUACUGGGCGUAAAGCGCGUGUAGGUGGUUGCGCAAGUUAGAUGUGAAAUCCCUCGGCUUAACCGAGGAACUGCAUCUAAUACUGCGUGGCUAGAGUGGCAGAGAGGAAAGUGGAAUUCCCGGUGUAGUAGUGAAAUGCGUAGAUAUCGGGAGGAACACCAGCGGCGAAGGCGACUUUCUGGCUGCUAACUGACACUGAGACGCGAAAGCUAGGGGAGCGAACGG
RNAcentral lists this ribosomal RNA (252 nucleotides) under uncultured bacterium. RNAcentral's name for it is "partial 16S ribosomal RNA". It matches the Rfam family "Bacterial small subunit ribosomal RNA", at positions 524 to 775 of the family's 1533-position model. The record is from RNAcentral.